This 371-nucleotide ribosomal RNA is filed under the name uncultured organism. RNAcentral describes it as "bacterial SSU rRNA". It matches the Rfam family "Bacterial small subunit ribosomal RNA", at positions 526 to 896 of the family's 1533-position model. The record is from RNAcentral.
CGAAGGGGGCUAGCGUUGUUCGGAAUUACUGGGCGUAAAGCGCGCGCAGGCGGUUUUUCAAGUCAGUGGUGAAAGCCCGGAGCUCAACUCCGGAACUGCCAUUGAAACUGUAAAACUUGAGGAUGAGAGAGGUGAGUGGAAUUCCCAGUGUAGAGGUGAAAUUCGUAGAUAUUGGGAAGAACACCGGUGGCGAAGGCGGCUCACUGGCUCAUAUCUGACGCUCAGGCGCGACAGCGUGGGGAUCAAAACAGGAUUAGAUACCCUGGUAGUCCACGCCGUAAACGAUGAAUGCUAGCCGUUGGGCAGCUUGCUGUUCAGUGGCGCAGCUAACGCAUUAAGCAUUCCGCCUGGGGAGUACGGCCGCAAGGUUG